GCCUGGGUGGUUCAGUCGGUUAAACGUCCGACUUCGGCUCGGGUCAUGAUCCCCCGGUACGUGGGUUCGAGCCCCGCAUUGGGCU
This is a transfer RNA of Felis catus (domestic cat), 85 nucleotides long. It matches the Rfam family "tRNA". From Rfam's summary of the family: Transfer RNA (tRNA) molecules are approximately 80 nucleotides in length. Their secondary structure includes four short double-helical elements and three loops (D, anti-codon, and T loops). Further hydrogen bonds mediate the characteristic L-shaped molecular structure. tRNAs have two regions of fundamental functional importance: the anti-codon, which is responsible for specific mRNA codon recognition, and the 3' end, to which the tRNAs corresponding amino acid is attached (by aminoacyl-tRNA synthetases). tRNAs cope with the degeneracy of the genetic code in two manners: having more than one tRNA (with a specific anti-codon) for a particular amino acid; and 'wobble' base-pairing, i.e. permitting non-standard base-pairing at the 3rd anti-codon position. NCBI's taxonomy places the organism in Eukaryota, Metazoa, Chordata, Mammalia, Carnivora, Felidae. The record is from Rfam.